Long non-coding RNA from Gasterosteus aculeatus aculeatus (three-spined stickleback), 414 nucleotides. NCBI's taxonomy places the organism in Eukaryota, Metazoa, Chordata, Actinopteri, Perciformes, Gasterosteidae. The record is from Ensembl.
AGCUCAAACGCUUCCUCAAAGUCCCGCUGUUGGAAGGCAAGGCAGCCGUCCUCGUCGCAGUCCUGUGGAGCACACACCGUGGGUGAUGAAAGAGAGCCACUGCACGCGUCUGCUGACGUGUCGCGCGGAACCGCCUGCGCGUCGUCGGUCGCCAUGUCCUCGUAGACAUUACCCAUCAGGUACUGCGUGGUGUUUUCCGGCGCCAUUGCCCCCGACGGUUGGCGGUGCGCGCAGGCCGCAACGCGCCCUUCCUCGCGCGCGGACUCCAUUUUGGCCUUCCCGCCGAUGCCUCCCAGGAGUUCAGCCAGAUCAGCCAGCCGCGGCCGCCUCGGCGCCCGCCCAAGGCAGGUCGCCAUAAAUGGACAUGAGACACAAGACUGGGCAAGUGGAGAAAAAGCGUGUGUCUGUUCUCGG